Rhinopithecus roxellana (golden snub-nosed monkey) is the source of this 891-nucleotide long non-coding RNA. RefSeq lists it as uncharacterized. The transcript is spliced from 4 exons. The record is from RefSeq and is a predicted model, not a curated record. NCBI's taxonomy places the organism in Eukaryota, Metazoa, Chordata, Mammalia, Primates, Cercopithecidae.
GUCCUCCGCCUCGUACUCGCGCACGGGACCACAAUGCUCCGCGCUGCUUGUCAUUGGGAGGCGCCGAAGGUGGGGGUCGGCUCUGAAAGAAAAGGAGAGAGGCCAAAAAAGGAGAGAGGAUGGGUUGCUGAUGCAGCAUUCUGCUCCCCAUAAGCCAUCCAAGUGGCAGACUGGGCUUACCUUUCCUAUGACAUCUGUUAACAGCUUGAGAGACAGAGGAUCAUGAACCAAAGCAUCUGUGUAAAAGGAACCAAGCAAUCACAGGAAUAUAUAAAACAUCAGAGCAGAAAGAGACCUUUGGAGGAAUCCAGACCAGCAUUCUCAUUUUACGGAUGAGGGAUUGCGGCCUAUGGAGGUUUCCAUGGAUGAUUGGAAAAACCCAAGAGUUGGUGUUCUGUUCCAGACCCCACACAGACACAAACCUACGAGCCAAGGGAGCCAGUAUUUGGCCAUUCGUCCAUCCAUCUGCAUGUCCCAGGGAUGCACGAACAGAGAACACUUCAGCCUUUCAGCUGCCUUCAAAGAAGCAAUGAGAGAGAGAGAGAGAGAGAGGGUUACUUUGAUGAGUGAGCAGAUACCAGGUACUGUUUGGGGAAACUGCUUUUCUUUGAGUCUAUAUUGGUCUGUAAAAAUAAAUUAAAAUGCUUUUGAAGUUGUUUUAUGAUCUAUUUAAAAGAGAUAUUGACAAACUUCUCCUGCUUGGAAAAUAAAAGGGACACUUAGAAUUAACAAAGGGGGUUGGUAGAUUUACCACUGAGGUCGAUGAACUUAAUAUAUCAUCUGGUAAAACAAGUGUCUGGAAAUAUCCAUUAUUCAGAUGUUUUGGCUGACAGCAAAAUGCUCAAGGACUAAUCCCGCACCUGAAAUGUAGGGGAAAAUUUUCCCUACGUU